ACGGGAGGCAGCAGUGGGGAAUAUUGGACAAUGGGGGAAACCCUGAUCCAGCGACGCCGCGUGAGUGAAGAAGUAUUUCGGUAUGUAAAGCUCUAUCAGCAAGGAAGAUAAUGACGGUACCUGACUAAGAAGCCCCGGCUAACUACGUGCCAGCAGCCGCGGUAAUACGUAGGGGGCAAGCGUUAUCCGGAUUUACUGGGUGUAAAGGGAGCGUAGGCGGCCAGACAAGUCAGAUGUGAAAGCCCGGGGCUCAACUCCGGUACUGCAUUUGAAACUGCCAGGCUUGAGUGCAGGAGAGGCAAGCGGAAUUCCUAGUGUAGCGGUGAAAUGCGUAGAUAUUAGGAAGAACACCAGUGGCGAAGGCGGCUUGCUGGACUGAGACUGACGCUGAGGCUCGAAAGCGUGGGGAGCAAACAGGAUUAGAUACCCUGGUA
RNAcentral lists this ribosomal RNA (434 nucleotides) under uncultured Lachnospiraceae bacterium. RNAcentral's name for it is "partial 16S ribosomal RNA". It matches the Rfam family "Bacterial small subunit ribosomal RNA", at positions 341 to 792 of the family's 1533-position model. The record is from RNAcentral. Lineage: Bacteria; Bacillati; Bacillota; Clostridia; Lachnospirales; Lachnospiraceae.